Long non-coding RNA from Sinocyclocheilus grahami, 428 nucleotides. RefSeq lists it as uncharacterized. The record is from RefSeq and is a predicted model, not a curated record. The transcript is spliced from 2 exons. NCBI's taxonomy places the organism in Eukaryota, Metazoa, Chordata, Actinopteri, Cypriniformes, Cyprinidae.
AGGUUCGAGACUUCCUGAAAAGGUUUGAGAGCAUCCCAGACAUGCUGGAACUGGAUCACCUGACUGUUUCAGGAGACGUUACCUUCGGAAAACAAGUCACACUCAAGGGAACGGUUAUCAUUAUUGCUAAUCAUGGAGACAGAAUCGACAUCCCGGCCGGAGCGAUACUAGAGAACAAGAUCGUUUCAGGAAACCUGCGCAUCCUGGACCACUGAGGCCUUUACAACCGAACCACAACCGUGUGUGUGUGGAAACGUGUGUCCAUCUGAUGAUUAGCAUUAAAUGCCUGUAUGAAAACAUCAGAAUUUACUGUAAAUGCUUUUGACAGUGAAUUUUACAAAGGGCUGUAUAAUGGGUUUUUAACAGACUGGUUUUGCUGCUAUGUAGCUCACUCAAUAAAACACUGAAGACAAGUGUAAGAAAUGGCA